Molecule: long non-coding RNA, 1028 nt
Organism: Polypterus senegalus (gray bichir)
Lineage: Eukaryota; Metazoa; Chordata; Cladistia; Polypteriformes; Polypteridae
Exons: 4
Source: RefSeq, a predicted model, not a curated record
UAGCUGCACUUACAGUUUGGAAUAAAGCUCGGUCAGAAGGUGAACUGGGGAGCAUUCGAGGUCAGGCAAGACGAGCAGCUGCUCCGAUAUUUAUUGGCGACGAGCGCCACAUGUUUUUUGAGAAAGACGAUGGCAAUCGAUCCACAGCAAUUAGUUUUAUGGCAUUUGCGAUCUUGUGCUACCUCACGAUCGAUGAAGUUUAUUUAAAUAAAAAAAAAGGUCAUUUCAGUGAACCACUUCGCUAGAUCGUAUAUGCUACUAAGUGCUGAAGGCUCCUCUUGCAAACAAAUUACCGUUUUAAUGUGUUAGCGUCUAGUUUCUCGUCUCAUGCACCUUCACCCACCCAGCAGCUUUGACCCAAGUUCAGGAAGUGAUAAUGCUACCUUAACACUUAAAACGUGUGUCACGCUCAACACACCCACUAAAUAGGAUUUGUUCCUCAGAAGCCGGCAACAUGAUAAUGAGAAGAAUGGAAGUCAGGACGAGCUAAGUAAUCUGCAACAGAUAGCACAAACCAUUCAAGUCCUUCUCUUGACGCAAGUGGCAAGAACUGGCAUUUACUCAACUACUGAUAAGAAAAUCGAGGCUUUUCUGGCCUUAAAGCGGUCAAGAGUUCGUAUUAACACUUGCACACAUCAACGAUCUGAGUUUUCCUUGUACUAUAAGGCAAGGAAUUAGUUUGGAGAUCCUUUCUCCUGAGCCGCCCACCGCUUCUACACCAGAAAAGAAAAAAAAAUAUACAAUUGAAACCAGCGAAAGAUAAGCCACGCCCACUUAGUGGAACGUAGAAGGGACGAGGAGGCGGGGCGGCAAGUGGUUUAGCCAAUCAAGUAGCGGAGUGCAAGGGCUGAAAGUAAGCAGCGAUUGGUAGCUCCUUAACAAUUUAAAGAAGAAGCAUAACUCAACAAUAAAACUGGGGGAGCUGGAACUUUUGAGAAGAAGCUGACACAACAAUAUAAGCCACCCAAGAUGGAACCCUGACCCAUCUCAAGCGCCUUCAACACCAUCCUACCUGUGCUCCUUAGGGA